Molecule: small nuclear RNA, 19 nt
Filed under: Arabidopsis thaliana (thale cress)
Lineage: Eukaryota; Viridiplantae; Streptophyta; Magnoliopsida; Brassicales; Brassicaceae
Description: snRNA_09332
Source: RNAcentral
CUGUCGCACCACGAGGCGC